RNAcentral lists this ribosomal RNA (908 nucleotides) under Staphylococcus sp. EA_L_63. RNAcentral's name for it is "bacterial SSU rRNA". It matches the Rfam family "Bacterial small subunit ribosomal RNA", at positions 46 to 936 of the family's 1533-position model. Lineage: Bacteria; Bacillati; Bacillota; Bacilli; Caryophanales; Staphylococcaceae. The record is from RNAcentral.
GGUCUAUACAUGCAGUCGAGCGAACAGACGAGGAGCUUGCUCCUUUGACGUUAGCGGCGGACGGGUGAGUAACACGUGGGUAACCUACCUAUAAGACUGGGAUAACUUCGGGAAACCGGAGCUAAUACCGGAUAAUAUUUCGAACCGCAUGGUUCGAUAGUGAAAGAUGGCUUUGCUAUCACUUAUAGAUGGACCUGCGCCGUAUUAGCUAGUUGGUAAGGUAACGGCUUACCAAGGCAACGAUNCGUANCCGACCUGAGAGGGUGAUCGGCCACACUGGAACUGAGACACGGUCCAGACUCCUACGGGAGGCAGCAGUAGGGAAUCUUCCGCAAUGGGCGAAAGCCUGACGGAGCAACGCCGCGUGAGUGAUGAAGGUCUUCGGAUCGUAAAACUCUGUUAUUAGGGAAGAACAAACGUGUAAGUAACUGUGCACGUCUUGACGGUACCUAAUCAGAAAGCCACGGCUAACUACGUGCCAGCAGCCGCGGUAAUACGUAGGUGGCAAGCGUUAUCCGGAAUUAUUGGGCGUAAAGCGCGCGUAGGCGGUUUUUUAAGUCUGAUGUGAAAGCCCACGGCUCAACCGUGGAGGGUCAUUGGAAACUGGAAAACUUGAGUGCAGAAGAGGAAAGUGGAAUUCCAUGUGUAGCGGUGAAAUGCGCAGAGAUAUGGAGGAACACCAGUGGCGAAGGCGACUUUCUGGUCUGUAACUGACGCUGAUGUGCGAAAGCGUGGGGAUCAAACAGGAUUAGAUACCCUGGUAGUCCACGCCGUAAACGAUGAGUGCUAAGUGUUAGGGGGUUUCCGCCCCUUAGUGCUGCAGCUAACGCAUUAAGCACUCCGCCUGGGGAGUACGACCGCAAGGUUGAAACUCAAAGGAAUUGACGGGGACCCGCACAAGCGGUGGA